Molecule: RNA transcript, 2219 nt
Organism: Zea mays
Lineage: Eukaryota; Viridiplantae; Streptophyta; Magnoliopsida; Poales; Poaceae
Exons: 6
Source: RefSeq, a predicted model, not a curated record
AUGCCAGGAUGACAAAAAUUUCCCACUCCACUCGAAUUAAAACCCUAGCGGCAAAACCUUCGCUCUGCGCCGCCGUCGCCUGCUCCCGUCCCGCCACCACAUCCACCCAGGAACUCGCCGUCGGGGAGGCUGCUCGAGGAGCCGCGCUGUCUCUCCCGUGCCGCGACCUUCGCCCUCGCCGCCGCCAUGAUCUGCGCGAUCUCCAGCGAGGUGCCGGACGAGCCGGUGGUGUCGAAGAAGUCGGGGCUUCUCUUCGAGCGGCGGCUCAUCGAGCGCUACAUUGAGGUCCGUAGCUUGGCCUCAGAUCUUGCGCUGCAAUUUUUUUGAUCCAGAUGAGAUAUUCAGGUCCUUUUAUGGCACCCAUGAUAAUAUGUUCCAUCCCCAGUAUACCUAUAGGGCUAGGGGAACAGGCAGGCAACAGCAACAGAGAAGGGAGCAUUCAGUGGAGGGUGGUUCCAGCAUAAAUCUAACAGUGUUUAUUCACCUUGUAGUAGUACUGUUUAUUGUUUCGCUUGCAUUUAUUCCAGCGCGUCAAGCUGAGUAUUCCCUGCAAUAGACAAAUUACUUCCCCAUUUCAAAGGUCACUCAAAAACAAGAAGUGGAGUACUUCGUCAGCAAACAAGAUUUUGAUCAGCAGUUUCCACAGGGUAGUCAGUCUAGAGAGAAUCUUGAACGACAUGUUCUGAUGGACUAUAAGAGUAUGCUUGGAAGAUAUUUCCAUGUGGAACUCCAACGUCGUCAAUGGGCCAAGGACUACCCUACACCUCGCUGUGACAAGCUAAGGGAGCUGUCUGUGGCGCAGAAUGUGCAUAUGCCAUCAGUUUGAUCUCCUGUUUUCAUCAUGGAAGAAUAUCUCUCAUAUUUGCAGGUUAUGAAAACUCCUGAAAUUCGCUUCACCCUAUAGGACAGCACCGUAACCUGGGACUGUGACAACCUUCUGCACUAUUGACCACUGCAACUACCGCUGCUAGGAGGGCCAAACCACCUCAAGUGCCACAGGCUGAUGCCCUUCCACUUCUUUUUGGGUUGCUAGUGAAACGUAGGAAUCGUUUGGAGCAAAACAAACAGAGUAUGGUGUCUAGCUUUGGUACCUACAAUCUUCUGUACUUCCCCAUUUGUCUGAUGCUUCAGGGAGAAGAUCCUAGCUUUAUAAACUUGUAGAUGCAUGUUAUGCGGCCAUGCCAUAUGAUCUGCGGAUUAAUAGCUCGCAAUGAUAUACUACUGUUCAAUUAGCCAUAGGUUGUUUCGCUACAAGUAUUUUGUAACAAGUCUUUCCUUGGAUACUCAUCAACAUGUAUAUCUCUGGUUAACUUCAAUCUGUACUUGAAAUUGUGGUCCUAUAGAACUCAGUGGAAAUGGAGUUCUUCACAGAGUACAGAGAGGCAAGCCAGAACUAGACGGAGUAGUUGAUGCAGCUGUAAACACCCUAUAAGAUUGUCAACUCGGUUGUGAUGAAUCUUGUUGUUGUUGAAGAUGGUUGCCACAUCCAAGGUUCUGUUGUAUGUAAUAAUGUUCAGAUGCAAGAACGAGCGGUUAUUGAGAGAUUGCUAGAUGUGGUAUUUGAAGAAGGGAAACCUUGGGACUGGGACAGUUCAAAGUGCAGCACAGAUCAACAGGAGAAUGACACUUUUAUUGUUCACUAUGAUCUAACUGACCAAAACAUGGCAAUAGCUGGGGAUGAUAGUAACCCAACACUGUCAGAUCAAAGUACAGGAGGAGAAAAUUCAGUUGGCCAAAGCAGUGGAACAGGACAAGCUAAUGAACCUGCUUCUCCAUACACUCCAAUAUCAAGUAUGAUGCAAAAUGAAGGGAUGGGAACUCCAUCUGUUCAACAAUCAGAGAGCUCAGGGUCAGGACCAUACAGGUUCAGAACAUUGACUGAUUUGUUUGAUGCAACUGAACAAGUGCAUGACUUUGAGUAUAGCGGAGUGUGCAUGCUGGCAGCUGAUGAACCUGCAUGUGUGGAACAGGCUCUUUCACAGGACUGCUGGAAAAGAGCUAUGGAGGUUGAACUGAAGUCAGUUCAAGAAAAUCAGACCUGGGAGAUUGCUGAUCUGCCAAGGGAUCACUAAGGCUAUAUGACUCAAAUGGGUUUUCAAAGUAAAGAGGGAUCCAACAUUAGUGCGAACAAUUGUAUUUUAGUUUAGAUUUAGAGUACACUUAUGUAUGAGUUGUUUGACAAUGCUUAUUUAUGAGUCAUUAAAAGGUACUUAUUUAUA